RNAcentral lists this unclassified non-coding RNA (279 nucleotides) under plant metagenome. Its description in RNAcentral is "partial contains small subunit ribosomal RNA, internal transcribed spacer 1, and 5.8S ribosomal RNA". The record is from RNAcentral.
UUUCCGUAGGUGAACCUGCGGAAGGAUCAUUAUUGUAUAACCUACGUGCCGGGGUAAGCUCUGACCCGAAGGGUCGUGAACGCCCGAGUGCCCUCACGCCCCUCCAUCUCACCCCUCUGCGCCCUACCGCGUGGGGCCCCCGUCGGCUUGUUCGGCGGAGGGCUUACGUUUUCUCGCCAGCGUUGUAUGCAGUGUAUAAUGUAUUUUUUGUUUUUGCUAUUACUCAUGCAAUACAACUAUAAACAACCGAACUCUUGGCUCUCACAUCGGAACAGAACC